RNAcentral lists this long non-coding RNA (762 nucleotides) under Varanus komodoensis (Komodo dragon). Its description in RNAcentral is "lncRNA (ENSVKKG00000008548.1)". Lineage: Eukaryota; Metazoa; Chordata; Lepidosauria; Squamata; Varanidae. The record is from RNAcentral.
CUUCUCCUCUACCUGCAGAUACACUGGCCCAUCUAGUCCAGUAUUCUGUUCACUUUAUGGCCAAUCACUGACCUACAGGAAACCCGUAAGCCGGAGUCUCCUUUUCACAGCAGCUGUGCACCUGAUCAACAUUUUCAGAGAGCUGUCCAAAAUGCUCUUGUAGCACUCUACAGAAUGGGAUCGGUCUGUGUUUCUGUUAAAAAAAUAAAAAGUUCUCACCACCCUUCUGAAUGAUGCUUCAUCUUUGAACAAAUAUACCAUGUGGGGCAGACAGCACUACCAUUCCAGGCUUUGCUGAACAGGUGGUCAGCUCAUUUCUUCGGGAAUAAGAUCCACUGAGCACAUGCGGACAUUCUUCUGAGUAAACAUGCCCAGGUUAUGCUGCACGUCUAUUAGCUCUGAACAAACCGCUUCAUACCAACCAACACAAGCAUGCCUUGAAACAAAAGAAAGUGCAAACUUCUAAGGAUUGCCUUAAAGUUCAUUAGCUGUUACAAGAAAAAUCCCUAAGUGGUUUAGCGAAGCUGCAAAGCUGCAAAGGUGAGCCAUCUUUAGGACUUCUGCUGAACCUGUCUUUGAAGUAGCAACAACUCUGACAAAUGCAAUUGCUUACAAAUGUGGAAAUUAUGAGUGCAGGGAACUUGCAGGGAGAUGAAAUAUGGCAUUGCUCAUGGUAGAAGCUGUGGCAAUGAAUGAGAAUAUAGCCAGACUUUGUGGGUAGAUACAGAGGGAAAAAUAAUGUGCAAAUUUUCAGACAUAUAU